UUUAUACUGAGAUUAGUAAUAUUACUAUUUAUAAUUCACUAUACAUAUUUAUCAACAGUGAAUAUUUCCAAUGCCUAACCACAUGCACACACAGUGGAAAAUACGUCGUGCACGAUACGCUAACGCAAUGUCAGUCGCUGGAAACAUUGUUAGGCUUAUAGACUAAUCAUCAUGCCCAUUGCCUUCUUCCCACCCAAGAAGCACCUGGGCACGUGAGUGAGACUCUGGCAAUGAACAUGGAAGGAGUUAAACCUGAAAAUCCUAUGCUAAAAAUAUGAUUAGUCUAUCUAUUAUAUUUUGUAUCGAACGGGCUAAU
RNAcentral lists this unclassified non-coding RNA (316 nucleotides) under Bombus terrestris (buff-tailed bumblebee). RNAcentral's name for it is "misc RNA ENSBTSG00005024307.1". The record is from RNAcentral. Lineage: Eukaryota; Metazoa; Arthropoda; Insecta; Hymenoptera; Apidae.